GACCACGUGGCCUAAUGGAUAAGGCGUCUGACUUCGGCUCAGAAGAUUGAGGGUUCGAAUCCCUUCGUGGUUA
Molecule: non-coding RNA, 73 nt
Organism: Amphiprion ocellaris (clown anemonefish)
Lineage: Eukaryota; Metazoa; Chordata; Actinopteri; Pomacentridae
Source: the annotation of a RefSeq genome assembly